AUUGAACGCUGGCGGCAGGCCUAACACAUGCAAGUCGAGCGGAUGAAGGGAGCUUGCUCUUGGAUUCAGCUGCGGACGGGUGAGUAAUUCCUAGGUAUCUGACUGGUAGAUGGGGAUAACGUCCGGAAACGGGCGCUAAUAUCGUAUACGUUCUUAGGGUGAACGUGGGGGAUCUUUGGACCUAACGCUAUCUGCUGACCCUAGGUCGGAUUAGCUAGUUGGUAGGGUAAAGGCCUACCAAGGCGACGAUCCGUAACUGGUCUGAGAGGAUGAUCAGUCACACUGGAACUGAGACACGGUCCAGACUCCUACGGGAGGCAGCAGUGGGGAAUAUUGGACAAUGGGCGAAAGCCUGAUCGAGCCAUGCCGCGUGUGUGAAGAAGGUCUUCGGAUUGUAAAGCACUUUAAGUUGGGAGGAAGGGCAGUAAGUUAAUACCUUGCUGUUUUGACGUUACCAACAGAAAAAGCACCGGCUAACUUCGUG
Molecule: ribosomal RNA, 484 nt
Filed under: uncultured bacterium
Lineage: Bacteria
Description: partial 16S ribosomal RNA
Rfam family: Bacterial small subunit ribosomal RNA
Source: RNAcentral